AGGACGAACGCUGGCGGCGUGCUUAACACAUGCAAGUCGAGCGGAAAGGCCCUUCGGGGUACUCGAGCGACGAACGGGUGAGUAACACGUGAGUAACCUGCCCCAGACUUUGGGAUAACCCUCGGAAACGGGGGCUAAUACCGAAUAUGACUUUAGCCCGCAUGGGUUUUUGUGGAAAGUUUUUCGGUUUGGGAUGGACUCGCGGCCUAUCAGCUUGUUGGUGAGGUAAUGGCUCACCAAGGCGAGGACGGGUAG
RNAcentral lists this ribosomal RNA (255 nucleotides) under uncultured bacterium. Its description in RNAcentral is "partial small subunit ribosomal RNA". It matches the Rfam family "Bacterial small subunit ribosomal RNA", at positions 26 to 286 of the family's 1533-position model. The record is from RNAcentral.